Molecule: transfer RNA, 72 nt
Filed under: Lactovum miscens
Lineage: Bacteria; Bacillati; Bacillota; Bacilli; Lactobacillales; Streptococcaceae
Rfam family: tRNA
About the family: Transfer RNA (tRNA) molecules are approximately 80 nucleotides in length. Their secondary structure includes four short double-helical elements and three loops (D, anti-codon, and T loops).
Source: Rfam by way of RNAcentral
GGUCCGUUGGUCAAGGGGUUAAGACACCGCGUUUUCAUCGCGGUAACACGGGUUCAAAUCCCGUACGGACUA